UCAAGUGAUGAUUAUUGGAGGUAGAGCACUGUUUGGACGAGGGGCCCCUCUCGGGUUACCGAAUUCAGACAAACUCCGAAUGCCAAUUAAUUUAACUUGGGAGUCAGAACAUGGGUGAUAAGGUCCGUGUUCGAAAGGGAAACAGCCCAGACCACCAGCUAAGGUCCCAAAAUAUAUGUUAAGUGGAAAAGGAUGUGGCGUUGCCCAGACAACUAGGAUGUUGGCUUAGAAGCAGCCAUCAUUUAAAGAGUGCGUAAUAGCUCACUAGUCGAGUGACACUGCGCCGAAAAUGUACCGGGGCUAAACAUAUUACCGAAGCUGUGGAUUGUCCUUUGGACAAUGGUAGGAGAGCGUUCUAAGGGCGUUGAAGCAUGAUCGUAAGGACAUGUGGAGCGCUUAGAAGUGAGAAUGCCGGUGUGAGUAGCGAAAGACGGGUGAGAAUCCCGUCCACCGAUUGACUAAGGUUUCCAGAGGAAGGCUCGUCCGCUCUGGGUUAGUCGGGUCCUAAGCUGAGGCCGACAGGCGUAGGCGAUGGAUAACAGGUUGAUAUUCCUGUACCACCUAUAAUCGUUUUAAUCGAUGGGGGGACGCAGUAGGAUAGGCGAAGCGUGCGAUUGGAUUGCACGUCUAAGCAGUAAGGCUGAGUAUUAGGCAAAUCCGGUACUCGUUAAGGCUGAGCUGUGAUGGGGAGAAGACAUUGUGUCUUCGAGUCGUUGAUUUCACACUGCCGAGAAAAGCCUCUAGAUAGAAAAUAGGUGCCCGUACCGCAAACCGACACAGGUAGUCAAGAUGAGAAUUCUAAGGUGAGCGAGCGAACUCUCGUUAAGGAACUCGGCAAAAUGACCCCGUAACUUCGGGAGAAGG
Molecule: ribosomal RNA, 864 nt
Filed under: Staphylococcus aureus
Lineage: Bacteria; Bacillati; Bacillota; Bacilli; Caryophanales; Staphylococcaceae
Description: partial 23S ribosomal RNA
Rfam family: Bacterial large subunit ribosomal RNA
Source: RNAcentral